Molecule: long non-coding RNA, 1271 nt
Organism: Oryzias melastigma (Indian medaka)
Lineage: Eukaryota; Metazoa; Chordata; Actinopteri; Beloniformes; Adrianichthyidae
Exons: 2
Source: RefSeq, a predicted model, not a curated record
AGAUGUGGGCUUCACUGAUUCACUUUCAUGAGCUCACGAAUGUCCUGGGAGGACACAGAGAAGACUGGAUAACCACUGCUAACUCCAUAGUGAAUGUAAAAUGAAGAUAUGAUGGGAUCAUAUCAGAUGAAAUUUGUAGGUUAUCUAUCUCCUGCAGUGAAGGAAUGAUAAUGUUCACAUUGAAAGAAAAUGUGUCCAGGUUUGAAGAAUAAAGGAGCUAUCACAUGGGCUGAGGUGUGCUGAGACUUAAAAAUGAAAAACAAAUAUUUCAAAUUGAUCUGAUUUCUGUAUAUUAGUGAGAUUCAACAUUUAAUUUGAUUUUUUUUAAAUAAAUCUGAAUCUGAAAAUCAAUAUUCAAGGUAACAAAAACAUUUAUUUAAAUUAAGAGUCACUUCCUGGUUUUCCUUUUCAAGGUAGAGAAUGAAAGGGAAAAAAUAUUUGCAAACUAAAAAUUUUUUUUCUUUUAUUUUUUUUUUUUUGCAGUGUAUUAUGCUCAUUAUUGUCCCUCUAAUGUUAUUAUAAACCUGUAUGGAACUGACAGCCCUAAAAAGAGGCAUCACAAUCAAUAGGGAAUUUUUUGUAAAAAGAAAAAGUUUUUAUUAAGGCAACAAAAAAAAGUAAAGUUAUUGAAUUUAAAGUUGUAAAUGUACGUCUUUCAAUCUAGAAAACAUAUAACUCUUUUCUUCUAAAUUAACGAUUUUUUUCCUCAUAAAUGGAGGUAUUUUAAAGAGGUAGAUUUACAACUUUUGAAGUCAUGAAUUUACUACUUUAAAACAUGUAAAUUUACAAGAGAAAAGUCAGAAAUUGAGACUUUUAAAGUCAUAAAUAUACAACCUUAUCUCAUAAUUUAACAAUUGCGACUUUUUCUCUCAAAUUUACAAUUUUACAGUCGUAAUUAAAAAAAAAUGCUUCUAAAUGGCCCUAAAACUCCCUCGUAUUGGUAAAACCAGACCAAAAAAAAAAAAAAAAUACAAACCAGGUGUAUAGUAUACUUGAACAAAAACUUCAAGGAUUCACAUAACUGAUCAAUUAAAAGAAAAUCAAUAAAAUUAAAAGGUACGUUUGAAGUGGAAACCUGCCUUAAAUUCUGGUAAUUAGCUGAAAGGUGACCACACGACAAACAGGUAAAAUAGGGAAAGAACACUAUCCUUCAGGUAUCUCUUGAAAGUAGUAAAAUGAUCAGUCCAUGCAGCCAAUCACUUUAACUUACAAAGAAAUCUUAAAAUAAAAUGUCAAAGUAUAGAAAUAGGAGCUCCAAGGAUUUUAAAAGG